Molecule: non-coding RNA, 243 nt
Filed under: Massilia consociata
Lineage: Bacteria; Pseudomonadati; Pseudomonadota; Betaproteobacteria; Burkholderiales; Oxalobacteraceae
Also listed under: 1 other name
Source: RNAcentral
CUAUAAUGUCGGCGUUUUGGUGCUCGCGGUCGUGUUCACGACCGCAGUUAAACGGGAAACACGAAGCCCUUCAACAAGGCCAACGUGUGCUGCCCCCGCAACGGUAAGCAAGUGCCGCGCUCAUGAUGAUCGAAUCGAUGAGCAGCGCGGCAAACCGUCUUCCAUGACCACUGUGCGAUCGCAUGGGAAGGUCGGACGGCCACACUUGCCAGCCCGGAUACCGGCCAAAAGGUGGAAGCGCGC